AACGAACGCUGGCGGCAGGCCUAACACAUGCAAGUCGAACGGCCCUUCCGGGGUCAGCGGCGGACGGGUGUGUCACGCGUGGGAAUAUGCCGUUCUCUACCGAAUAGUCCUUUGUAACUGGGGGUAAUACCGGAUACGCCCCUUGGGGGCCAGAUUCAUCGGGGGAGUAUAAGCACGCGUUGGUUUAGCUAGUUGGCGGUGAAAUGGCCGACCAAGGCGACGAUCCUUAGCUGGUUAGAGAGGCUGCUCAGCCACACUGGGACUGAGACACGGUAGAAACACUUAGGGUGGGAAGCAGUGGAGAAUAUUGGGCAAUGGAGGCGAGGCUGAUCCAGCAAUAUCGCGUGAGUGAAGAAGGCGCUCGGGUUGUAAAGUCAUGUUGUUGGGAAAGAAAAGAAGCUGGUUAAUAUGCCGAGGUUCUGACGGUACCAAAAGAAGAAGCACCGGCUAACUUCGUG
This 458-nucleotide ribosomal RNA is filed under the name uncultured bacterium. RNAcentral describes it as "partial 16S ribosomal RNA". It matches the Rfam family "Bacterial small subunit ribosomal RNA", at positions 29 to 507 of the family's 1533-position model. The record is from RNAcentral.